CACGUAGGCGGAUAUUUAAGUCAGGGGUGAAACCCCAGAGCUCAACUCUGGAACUGCCUUUGAUACUGGGUAUCUUGAGUAUGGAAGAGGUAAGUGGAAUUCCGAGUGUAGAGGUGAAAUUCGUAGAUAUUCGGAGGAACACCAGUGGCGAAGGCGGCUUACUGGUCCAUUACUGACGCUGAGGUGCGAAAGCGUGGGGAGCAAACA
This 207-nucleotide ribosomal RNA is filed under the name uncultured bacterium. Its description in RNAcentral is "partial 16S ribosomal RNA". It matches the Rfam family "Bacterial small subunit ribosomal RNA", at positions 568 to 774 of the family's 1533-position model. The record is from RNAcentral.